AUUGAACGCUGGCGGCAUGCCUUACACAUGCAAGUCGAACGGUAGCGCGUGCUUCGGCCUGGCGGCGAGUGGCGAACGGGUGAGUAAUACAUCGGAACGUGCCCUCGAGUGGGGGAUAACUAGUCGAAAGAUUAGCUAAUACCGCAUACGAUCUCAGGAUGAAAGUGGGGGACCGCAAGGACUCAUGCUCCUGGAGCGCCCGGUGUCUGAUUAGCUUGUUGGGGGGGUAACGGGCCAGCAAGGCGACGAUUAGUAGCUGGUCUGAGAGGACGACCAGCCACACUGGGACUGAGACACGGCCCAUACUCCGACGAGAGGCAGCAGUGGGGAAUUUUGGACAAUGGGGGAAACCCUGAUCCAGCAAUGCCGCGUGUGUGAAGAAGGCCUUCGGGUUGUAAAGCACUUUUGUCAGGAACGAAACGGUGGGGGCUAAUACCUUCUGCUAAUGACGGUACCUGAAGAAUAAGCACCGGCUAACUACGUGCCAGCCGCCGCUGUAA
This 500-nucleotide ribosomal RNA is filed under the name uncultured bacterium. RNAcentral describes it as "partial 16S ribosomal RNA". It matches the Rfam family "Bacterial small subunit ribosomal RNA", at positions 30 to 523 of the family's 1533-position model. The record is from RNAcentral.